CUUCAGCUGACGAGUGCCAAAUAAGACGAAACGCACGUCAAACUGGAU
This is a non-coding RNA of Schistosoma curassoni, 48 nucleotides long. The record is from Rfam. Lineage: Eukaryota; Metazoa; Platyhelminthes; Trematoda; Strigeidida; Schistosomatidae.